GACGAACGCUGGCGGCGUGCCUAAUACAUGCAAGUUGAGCGCUGAAGGUUGGUACUUGUACCAACUGGAUGAGCAGCGAACGGGUGAGUAACGCGUGGGGAAUCUGCCUUUGAGCGGGGGACAACAUUUGGAAACGAAUGCUAGUACCGCAUAAAAACUUUAAACACAAGUUUUAAGUUUGAAAGAUGCAAUUGCAUCACUCAAAGAUGAUCCCGCGUUGUAUUAGCUAGUUGGUGAAGUAAAGGCUCACCAAGGCGAUGGUACAUAGCCGACCUGGAAGGGGGGACGGCCACAUUGGGACUGGGACACGGCCCAAACUUCUACGGGAGGCAGCAGUAGGGAAUCUUCGGCAAUGGACGAAAAGCUGACCGAGCAACGCCGCGGGAGUGAAGAAGGGUGUCGGAUCGGAAAACUCUGUUGGUAGAGAAGAACGUUGGGGAGAGUGGAAAGCUCAUCAAGUGACGGUAACUACCCAGAAAGGGACGGCUAACUACGUG
Molecule: ribosomal RNA, 497 nt
Filed under: uncultured bacterium
Lineage: Bacteria
Description: partial 16S ribosomal RNA
Rfam family: Bacterial small subunit ribosomal RNA
Source: RNAcentral